RNAcentral lists this long non-coding RNA (641 nucleotides) under Homo sapiens (human). Its description in RNAcentral is "novel transcript". The record is from RNAcentral. Lineage: Eukaryota; Metazoa; Chordata; Mammalia; Primates; Hominidae.
GGUGAAGAUUCCAACUUCCUGGGCAGAGGGUCAUGUAGUGGAAUAGAGCUGUACCUGGCUUCAGGCGAGACUUGGAGCUCAAAACUUUCAGUAGGACAGCCAGGCGCGGUGGCUGAUGCCUGUAAUCCCAGCACUUUGGGAGGCCGAGGUGGGCGGAUCACGAGCAACUCCAAAAUGGAAGUACUAUUGUUAUCUCCGUUUACAAAUUAGGAAACUGAGGCACAGAUAUGCUCUUGGGUACUUGUCAGCAGCAGUUGUUCUACAAGCUAAAUAUCUGGAUAUCUUAAAUCUCAGAUGAGCGUCUUAGCCUCUGGAUUACUGCUCAAUGAGGAAAGCUAUGAAAUGCAUGGAUAACUUGCUAAUCAGUAUUUGCCAUAUGUGCUAGCAGCAUCAGCAUCAGUUGGGAGAUUAUGGUGGCCUCCAUGUCAGACCUCCUAAAUCGGAAUAUCAGAGAAGGUGGCCCAGGUUACCAUGCUUCAUCUGCCAAUGCAUUGAAAACUUGGAAUGUAAAUUAAUUCAACCAUUGUGGAAGAUGGUGUAGUGAUUCCUCAAAGACCUAGAAGCAGAAAUAUCAUUUGAUCCAGAAAUCCCAUUACUGUGUAUACACCCAAAGGAAUAUAAACCAUUCUAUUACAAAGAUA